Molecule: unclassified non-coding RNA, 1600 nt
Filed under: Hevea brasiliensis (rubber tree)
Lineage: Eukaryota; Viridiplantae; Streptophyta; Magnoliopsida; Malpighiales; Euphorbiaceae
Source: RNAcentral
CAGCAUAGUUUCCUUCAUGAUUAAUGCAAAAACAGUAUGUGUUACAUUCCACAUUACUUGUUUAAAAGGCAGCUUUUGGGGAGGACUGCCUCUUUUAUUUAUUUGUUCCACUCAAGUUCUAUUUAACACAACUAAUCACGUAUUACUAGCACCAAUCACCCAUACAAACACACUAAUACAGUACCAAAUCGAAGAUAACAAUGUAGAACCAUGCUUCACUGCUGCAUCUGCCUUUUACAGCUCCAACACAAGGUAGUCUGCGUCUGUUUUGAUCCAGUAUUCCCUGCUUCCAUUUGAGUCACUGCUGCUAAGAGUGAAGUGGGGUGGAUUAGAUUGACUCUUGUAGCGCCUUAUGCUCCGCUUUGAAAGGGUUCUCUGAGGAAGUACUGUGAUGUCUUCAUCUAGGAGUAUUUGACUUCCAUUGUUGUGUCCCCCAUUGUUGGUGCUCUUCUUAUUCUCAUUUUUCUGGGAUUUAUCUGCCUUCCGCGCUGAUGUUGAGCUUUCUGGGUGAACUUUCCUGUGGAACAUGUGUAGGAUCUUGUGCAGUUUUGUUUCUGCUGAAGCAGUAUCAACGGUUCCACCAGCAGUGGCAGCAGAGCUCCUAGAAGAAGCAUGGAGCAUUUUUUUCUUCAGCAUCUUUUUCAUGAGAUGCACAGCAGAUUUAUCAGCUUCCUUCUCUAUGCGCUUCUCAUCCCUUUCACAUUUACCCCCAGAAUUCUCUUCUGCUAUUUUAGCCCUCUGAAACAGCUCGCCGAGUGAUGUCCUGUGUUCCUUCUUUGCCACGGUUGUCGUUUCUGAUAAUUCAAUUGCUGACCCAAAUAGGUAUCCCUGGAGCGGACAGACUGUUGUUCCAUUCACAUUGGUCUCCUGGCCUUCCAUUGGCUUUCCGCUAAGGGUAAUAGUGCUACCCUGACUGCUUCUCCCUGCACUGACAUAACUGUUUCUUCCUGAUGAGUCAUUGCAACAAUCUUCUCUAGCUUCAGCUACCAGAACCUUCUCCAACUCGUCAUUGAUGAGCUUCAGUUCGUUUUCGGUUACUUCAGUCUCUUUUUCAGUGAUGUUCUCAACGGAGAUGGCAAAUGUUGGUGUUGAGGGUUCGGUAUUGAUUGGAUCUGAACCAAGGGUACCAAUUGCAAGAAAACCGUGGAAUAGCUCAGAUAUGGCAGCUGACGAUUCUUCUUCAUAGUCUUCCUCUUCUUCUUCUAUUCUUGCUGCUUCCAGACCAGCAAAAGAUUUUCGAAGGUGAUCUUUCUGUGCUUGCUUGAAUGAUCUGGUUCCAUAGUUUGGUUUUGAGUAGUAUUGUUGGUCGUCAAGGGAUGGCUGUCCUAUAAGACAAUUGCAAGCAUGACCAAUGGCAAAAUCCUUCAGCGGUUCACUGCUAUUCUGCCUGAACUUACGGUGCAUCCAACCUAGUAACUUCAUGUUCUUUCUCUCUUAGAAAACCCGAGCUUUGCUCACUUUGUCUAUGAUGAGAGGAUAGGAUAAUAGCUACUUUUCAUAAUCAGAAGUAGAACCGUUUACGAAUGAGAUAUCAGUUGCUCCUUGAAAGCCUCCAAUGCCUAAGAUGAAGGUAGCUGGAGAGAAACACAGAGAUAGUUAC